RNAcentral lists this ribosomal RNA (382 nucleotides) under uncultured eukaryote. RNAcentral's name for it is "partial 18S ribosomal RNA". It matches the Rfam family "Eukaryotic small subunit ribosomal RNA", at positions 592 to 976 of the family's 1831-position model. The record is from RNAcentral.
UGUAAGCGUAUACCAAAGUUGUUGCAGUUAAAACGCUCGUAGUCGGAAUUUGGCAGUUCCGGAUGUGUGCACGUCGUGUGCGCACUUCGCGGGGAUUGCUUUUGUGGUCUUGCGUAGGAUGAGGCACUUUUAUUAGUGAACGUCCUCACGCAACCACUUUUUACUGUGAGAAAAUCAGAGUGCUCAAAGCAGGCAUUUGCCGUGAAUGUAUUAGCAUGGAAUAAUAGAAUAGGACUUGGUUCUAUUUUGUUGGUUUGUUGGGACUGAGUAAUGAUUAAGAGGGACAGUUGGGGGCAUUUGUAUUUCGGUGCUAGAGGUGCAAUUCUUAGAUUACCGAAAGACAAACUGCUGCGAAAGCGUCUGCCAAGGAUGUUUUCAUUGA